GCCCCGGCUAACUACGUGCCAGCAGCCGCGGUAAUACGUAGGGGCGGAGCGUUGUCCGGAAUUAUUGGGCGUAAAGGGUACGUAGGCGGCUUUUUAAGUUUGACGUGAAAGCCCGGGGCUUAACUCCGGCAAGCGUUGAAAACUGGAAGGCUUGAGUGAUGGAAGGGACAGUGGAAUUCCUGGUGUAGUGGUGAAAUGCGCAGAGAUCAGGAAGAAUACCAGUGGCGAAGGCGACUGUCUGGACAUUAACUGACGCUGAGGUACGAAAGCGUGGGGAGCAAACAGGAUCAGAUACCCUGGUAGUCCACGCUGUAAACGAUGAGUGCAAGGUGUUGGGGGUCAAACCCCGGUGCCGCCGUUAACACAGUAAGCACUCCGCCUGGGGAGUACGUACGCA
This 397-nucleotide ribosomal RNA is filed under the name uncultured bacterium. RNAcentral's name for it is "bacterial SSU rRNA". It matches the Rfam family "Bacterial small subunit ribosomal RNA", at positions 490 to 890 of the family's 1533-position model. The record is from RNAcentral.